UCCCUAGUGGUGUAAUGGUUAGCAUUUCUGCUUUUCAAUAUAAAAACCUCGGUGCUUCCAGAUUUGAAAUUGCAGGAGACCAGGGUUCAAUUCCCUGUUAGGGAA
Molecule: transfer RNA, 105 nt
Filed under: Lachnellula occidentalis
Lineage: Eukaryota; Fungi; Ascomycota; Leotiomycetes; Helotiales; Lachnaceae
Rfam family: tRNA
About the family: Transfer RNA (tRNA) molecules are approximately 80 nucleotides in length. Their secondary structure includes four short double-helical elements and three loops (D, anti-codon, and T loops).
Source: Rfam by way of RNAcentral